RNAcentral lists this transfer RNA (74 nucleotides) under Candidatus Taylorbacteria bacterium CG11_big_fil_rev_8_21_14_0_20_46_11. RNAcentral describes it as "tRNA-Met". It matches the Rfam family "tRNA". From Rfam's summary of the family: Transfer RNA (tRNA) molecules are approximately 80 nucleotides in length. Their secondary structure includes four short double-helical elements and three loops (D, anti-codon, and T loops). Lineage: Bacteria; Candidatus Tayloriibacteriota. The record is from RNAcentral.
GCCGGUGUAGUUCAACGGUAGAACGAGGGACUCAUAAACCCUAGAAAAUGGUUCAACUCCAUUCUCCGGCACAA